AACCUGCCUUCAGAGGGGACAACAGUGGAACGACUGCUAAUACCGCAUAACACAUAGGUGUCGCAUGGCAUUUAUGUCAAAGAUUUAUCGCUGAAAGAUGGCCUCGCGUCUGAUUAGCUAGUUGGUGAGGUAACGGCUCACCAAGGCGACGAUCAGUAGCCGGACUGAGAGGUUGGCCGGCCACAUUGGGACUGAGAUACGGCCCAGACUCCUACGGGAGGCAGCAG
This 227-nucleotide ribosomal RNA is filed under the name uncultured bacterium. RNAcentral's name for it is "partial 16S ribosomal RNA". It matches the Rfam family "Bacterial small subunit ribosomal RNA", at positions 123 to 354 of the family's 1533-position model. The record is from RNAcentral.